CGAAAAGGCGGGCCCAGGUGUCCGAACUAAACCAAAAACCGGCGCUACAGGCGCCAAGGAAAUCUUAGCGGAGACAGGGGGUCGCACCGUUCGCGGUCGCGGCCUUCGGAAUCCGAUACUCGAACGACUCUCGGCAACGGAUAUCUCGGCUCUUGCAUCGAUGAAGAACGUAGCGAAAUGCGAUACUUGGUGUGAAUUGCAGAAUCCCGUGAACCAUCGAGUCUUUGAACGCAAGUUGCGCCCGAGGCCACUAGGUCGAGGGCACGUCUGCCUGGGCGUCACACACAGCGUCGCACCCCGCCAACCACGUUGUCGGGGAGCGGAAAUUGGCCCCCCGGGCCCUCGAGGGCACGGUCGGCACAAAUGUUGGUCCCCGACGGCGAGCGUCGCGGUCAGCGGUGGUUGUACUACUCACCCCCGAAGACAUCAAGACGCGCUGCUCCGCUGCACGACGGGACAAACGACCCCACGGAACCGCCUCACGCGGCAUCCACCCUGCGACCCCAGGUCAGGC
RNAcentral lists this ribosomal RNA (514 nucleotides) under Delphinium turcicum. Its description in RNAcentral is "eukaryotic LSU rRNA". The stretch from base 126 to 281 matches the Rfam family "5.8S ribosomal RNA". Lineage: Eukaryota; Viridiplantae; Streptophyta; Magnoliopsida; Ranunculales; Ranunculaceae. The record is from RNAcentral.